AUAUUAGGUAAAAUCUAAUUUCAGUUUGGUUAUCACAUAGCGUUCAUUUCCCUAAGGGAGGAGAAAAAAUUAAAUUUGUAAGCUUAAGAUUCCAGCUGAAGUACUCAAGAAUCCUGUUUCUCUGACAGAGGAAACGAACAACAACUUGACUGGACACAUCCUAACCCAACCAUACGCUGUGUUACUUCCUCCACUGCGCCACACACAGCUAUUAUUCUAAGCUUUCUUAUUCAAACCCUUAAGGAUUUGUAAGAACUUGGAAAGAGAAAGUGACUUCAGACAGUUGCUGAGAACGCUAAGAAGAUGGGCAGAAAUCAAAGCUUCCUGGUGUGAGGUUGUGGUAGAAGAUUCCUGGUUGAUCAAUGUAUAGAAGAUGAAAUGGAUUCCAGUUGUGGGAAAGAAGAAGUAAUGCAGUCAAAAGUCCUGAAUUGUCUUGAAUUAUAUGUAGAAGCUAGCCAGAUAGUAAAAGUGGGGAGGGGAAAUUUCAGAGCAAAGGGACAGAUUGUCAAAAAUUAUAGUUUUGUGUUGUUUUAUUUUACUGUGGAACUAUAAGCUGUUUGAUUUGGUUGGAUCAUAUAGUAGAACAAUUAUGUAACAACCGUUCACUGGGACGUCCAAAAGGCAUCCUCUCAGACUUGUUUUAGAUCCUUUAUGAUUAGAGAAUAUAACUCUCCUAAGAUUCCUUGAGCUUUCAACAACUUUACUCUGCUACUUUUGUGAGGCAUGCAUUUUUAUCCUGGGUGUAAUUUUGGAUAAAAUAUUGCAUUUUUUUCUGUCUUAGACCAAGCGUAUAUAAAUAGGGAAAAUACAAUACUUUAUUCAUAGGCUUGUUGGAGCAUAUAUGAGAUUAUGUCUUAAAGUGUGCUCUGUAACCUGGAAAAGGCAAUACAAAAGUUACUUAUUAAACUGAUGAAAUUUCUGCCAUGUCUUCUAUUUUGUGCCGUAUAGAAAAUUUAAAUCUUUAAAACGUGAUAUUCAAUAAAUGUAAACCACUUAUAU
Cercocebus atys (sooty mangabey) is the source of this 999-nucleotide long non-coding RNA. RefSeq lists it as uncharacterized. NCBI's taxonomy places the organism in Eukaryota, Metazoa, Chordata, Mammalia, Primates, Cercopithecidae. The record is from RefSeq and is a predicted model, not a curated record. The transcript has 4 exons.